Molecule: non-coding RNA, 560 nt
Organism: Chiloscyllium plagiosum (whitespotted bambooshark)
Lineage: Eukaryota; Metazoa; Chordata; Chondrichthyes; Orectolobiformes; Hemiscylliidae
Source: RefSeq, a predicted model, not a curated record
CACGAACGCUGUCUGGUACUGCUCCAGAGACCACAGUUCGAUCGUGCAGGCAGCCGGGUGUCUGAGACAACUGUACAACCAGCAGCAUCACCCAAUUUAUGCUCAUCACUCCAACUCAGCCCUGCAGAUGUCAAAGACCAGCCAAAGACCCCAAUGCUAAGUUCAGCGAUGCCUCUUGAGAGGUUCUACUGAAGGCUAUCCAGGAGAGAAGAUUGCAGCUAGAGCAGAAGCGGAGGAAUAAAACCGUUCAGUCGAGAUGCAAUGUACUUUUCCAGUCAUCAAUCCAAAGACAGAGCACACAAAGCAGGGUCACGACCCCGAGCCAGGUCACAAGCUGACUUUUUGGGCUUACGAGGGAGCAAUGGCUGCUAUGGAUAUCCAACCAAGUUAUAACUGCCUUACAGCGAUCUUCCGAUAGUAACUGUUCUCACGGUCGGUCUGUGGCAAUUUUCAAGCCUCAAAAUGGAGUUUCAGAGGACAAAAUGUUUUGGAAGAAUUGUUCAAUGGAGAAGGGCAGUACGCAAAAACUGAUGUGGUUGGCUUCAGAUCAAAGGUCAUCA